UCAGAUUAAUUCAGGACUGAUUUUUACAAACCUAAAUCCGAAUCCGAUAACCAAAUCUAAAAUUCUAAUCCUAAUCUUAAUCGAAUCCCGACAUAUUUUACAAAUUUUAUCCAUAACAGAAUCUAGACAAGAACCCGAAUUCGAACCCAAAUAUCCAAACAACUAUUUCUUUUUGGGGGCAAUUGCUUAUAUAUCCUUGAAAAAUUUUCGACUUUCCGAUUUACCCCUCUUAGAAGGUUAAUAUUGAAAAUACCCUUUCUACAUUCCAAACUAUUUCUAAUAUACCCCUAGAGUUAAAAUCUGUUAAUGAAUUCUGUUAUCUCUAUAAAAUUACUAUUUUACUUUUUUAAAUAUACCCUUCUACAAUCACUAAUUUUCUUAUUUGUCUUUAAAGUCAGGGGCACAAAAAUUAUUUUGACUUUUGAUCUUUUUCAAUAUACCCCUCUACCGUUACCAAUAUUUCUUAUUUGCCCUUAAGUUAAGGACAAAAUUAGUAUUUUAAUUUUUUUAACUGUAGUAGAUAUUUAAUUCACGUUUAACUCAAAUAACUUAACAGGAAAUAACUGUGAGGGUAUUUUGCAAUAAUGGUGGAACAUAUGAGGGAUAUUUUAGAAAGAAAAAAAAAGUAGGGAUAAAUUGGAUAUUUUCAAACGUAUGAGGAGGGGUAUAUAGGUAAUUAUCCCUUCUUUUUACUAUAUUUCAAAAUAUAUUAUAUUAAAAAUUAAAAUUUUCAAAAUUCAAAUUUAAAUAAAACAUCAAACAUUCUUACAUAUUAUAUAAACCUUAAACCCUAAAUCUCAAAACCUAAACCACCUUAAUUUGUCACGCUCCGCCUCGUUGCACAGCGGA
This 849-nucleotide long non-coding RNA is filed under the name Ananas comosus (pineapple). Its description in RNAcentral is "long non-coding RNA (ACOM_LNC031568)". The record is from RNAcentral. Lineage: Eukaryota; Viridiplantae; Streptophyta; Magnoliopsida; Poales; Bromeliaceae.